AUUGAACGCUGGCGGCAUGCCUUACACAUGCAAGUCGAACGGCAGCACGGAGCUUGCUCUGGUGGCGAGUGGCGAACGGGUGAGUAAUAUAUCGGAACGUACCCUAGAGUGGGGGAUAACGUAGCGAAAGUUACGCUAAUACCGCAUACGAUCUAAGGAUGAAAGUGGGGGAUCGCAAGACCUCAUGCUCGUGGAGCGGCCGAUAUCUGAUUAGCUAGUUGGUAGGGUAAAAGCCUACCAAGGCAUCGAUCAGUAGCUGGUCUGAGAGGACGACCAGCCACACUGGAACUGAGACACGGUCCAGACUCCUACGGGAGGCAGCAGUGGGGAAUUUUGGACAAUGGGCGAAAGCCUGAUCCAGCAAUGCCGCGUGAGUGAAGAAGGCCUUCGGGUUGUAAAGCUCUUUUGUCAGGGAAGAAACGGUGAAAGCUAAUAUCUUUUGCUAAUGACGGUACCUGAAGAAUAAGCACCGGCUAACUACGUGCCAGCAGCCGCGGUAAUACGUAGGGUGCAAGCGUUAAUCGGAAUUACUGGGCGUAAAGCGUGCGCAGGCGGUUUUGUAAGUCUGAUGUGAAAUCCCCGGGCUCAACCUGGGAAUUGCAUUGGAGACUGCAAGGCUAGAAUCUGGCAGAGGGGGGUAGAAUUCCACGUGUAGCAGUGAAAUGCGUAGAUAUGUGGAGGAACACCGAUGGCGAAGGCAGCCCCCUGGGUCAAGAUUGACGCUCAUGCACGAAAGCGUGGGGAGCAAACAGGAUUAGAUACCCUGGUAGUCCACGCCCUAAACGAUGUCUACUAGUUGUCGGGUCUUAAUUGACUUGGUAACGCAGCUAACGCGUGAAGUAGACCGCCUGGGGAGUACGGUCGCAAGAUUAAAACUCAAAGGAAUUGACGGGGACCCGCACAAGCGGUGGAUGAUGUGGAUUAAUUCGAUGCAACGCGAAAAACCUUACCUACCCUUGACAUGGCUGGAAUCCUUGAGAGGUCAGGGAGUGCUCGAAAGAGAACCAGUACACAGGUGCUGCAUGGCUGUCGUCAGCUCGUGUCGUGAGAUGUUGGGUUAAGUCCCGCAACGAGCGCAACCCUUGUCAUUAGUUGCUACGAAAGGGCACUCUAAUGAGACUGCCGGUGACAAACCGGAGGAAGGUGGGGAUGACGUCAAGUCCUCAUGGCCCUUAUGGGUAGGGCUUCACACGUCAUACAAUGGUACAUACAGAGCGCCGCCAACCCGCGAGGGGGAGCUAAUCGCAGAAAGUGUAUCGUAGUCCGGAUUGUAGUCUGCAACUCGACUGCAUGAAGUUGGAAUCGCUAGUAAUCGCGGAUCAGCAUGUCGCGGUGAAUACGUUCCCGGGUCU
RNAcentral lists this ribosomal RNA (1352 nucleotides) under uncultured bacterium. Its description in RNAcentral is "bacterial SSU rRNA". It matches the Rfam family "Bacterial small subunit ribosomal RNA", at positions 28 to 1381 of the family's 1533-position model. The record is from RNAcentral.